This 440-nucleotide ribosomal RNA is filed under the name uncultured bacterium. Its description in RNAcentral is "partial 16S ribosomal RNA". It matches the Rfam family "Bacterial small subunit ribosomal RNA", at positions 338 to 795 of the family's 1533-position model. The record is from RNAcentral.
CCUACGGGAGGCAGCAGUAGGGAAUAUUCCUCAAUGGGGGAAACCCUGAAGCAGCAACGCCGCGUGGGGGAUGAAGGUUUUCGGAUUGUAAACUCCUUUUGUAAGAGAAGAUAAUGACGGUAUCUAACGAAUAAGCACCGGCUAACUCCGUUCCAGCAGCCGCGGUAAUACGGAGGGUUCAAGAGUUACUCGGAAUCACUGGGCGUAAAGAGCGCGUAGGCGGGAUAGCAAGUCAGAUGUGAAAUCCUAUGGCUUAACCAUAGAACUGCAUUUGAAACUGUUAUUCUAGAGUAUGGGAGAGGUAGGUGGAAUUCUUGGUGUAGGGGUGAAAUGCGUAGAGAUAAAGAGGAAUACUCAUUGCGAAGGCGACCUGCUAGAACAUAACUGACGCUGAUGCGCGAAAGCGUGGGGAGCAAACAGGAUUAGAUACCCCUGUAGUC